RNAcentral lists this ribosomal RNA (426 nucleotides) under uncultured Rummeliibacillus sp. Its description in RNAcentral is "bacterial SSU rRNA". It matches the Rfam family "Bacterial small subunit ribosomal RNA", at positions 356 to 774 of the family's 1533-position model. Lineage: Bacteria; Bacillati; Bacillota; Bacilli; Caryophanales; Caryophanaceae. The record is from RNAcentral.
AGGGAAUCUUCCACAAUGGACGAAAGUCUGAUGGAGCAACGCCGCGUGAGUGAUGAAGGUUUUCGGAUCGUAAAACUCUGUUGUAAGGGAAGAACCAGUACGUCAGGCAAUGGACGUACCUUGACGGUACCUUAUUAGAAAGCCACGGCUAACUACGUGCCAGCAGCCGCGGUAAUACGUAGGUGGCAAGCGUUGUCCGGAAUUAUUGGGCGUAAAGCGCGCGCAGGUGGUUUCUUAAGUCUGAUGUGAAAGGCCACGGCUUAACCGUGGGAGGGCGUUUGGAACGGGGAGGCUUGAGUGGAGAAGAGGAAAGGUGAAUUCCCAGUUGAGGGGGUAAAUUGGUUGGGAUUUUGAGGAACACCAGGGGAGGAGGCGACUUUCUGGUCUGCAACUGACGCUGAGGCGCGAAAGCAUGGGGAGCAAACA